Podarcis lilfordi (Lilford's wall lizard) is the source of this 9460-nucleotide non-coding RNA. Lineage: Eukaryota; Metazoa; Chordata; Lepidosauria; Squamata; Lacertidae. The record is from the annotation of a GenBank genome assembly.
AUCCCUAGAAAAAGUGUUUUACCAGGGCAACCCACAAAUAUAGCUGCAGUUUCCCAAGUGAUUCUUGUGAUGACAAAAGCUGACAAACUUACUUUCACAGUCAUGGAAAUCACUUCCAGGAAACUACAGCUGAAUUUGUAGGAUGUCCCAGACAACACUCUAUCCUAUUAAGAGUUUGGGGUCAUUGCAUGGAGAAUUUUUUAGAUUUAAAAAAAAUGGCUUUUUAGAAUAUUCUGAAGCCAAAAGCAGUAAGAACUGUGAGACAAGCAUACUGUUUAGGGCCUUUCUCUAGGCCUAUCUUCAAAUGAGUUGGGGGGGGGGAAUUCUCCUUUGAGCCUUAGAAAAGGUGUUGGGCCAGGCAAAUAGGUAUCCUCCCAUUUUGGAGAAUCUCCAUUUUAACUCCAACAGGCUCCAUGCAAAUGGCAUGCCUCCUGUUCACAUUCCUUGGAAUAUUCCAGUUUCCCUUUUAUCCUCAGUGGUGCACUUUCUUUUUAACUCUGUUCCUCCCUUUCUUCAUUCCCAACUUUUAUGCUCUUCCCAACUCUUCACCUUUGUCCUUCUAGCCAGGCCAAACCUCUUACCAGCUAGUUUUCACAAAAUUAAAAUGUGACUGAAAGCAGAUAGCUAUGGUUUCACUUUAGCAAAGGCAAAUUGUCAGUCAAGAGCUGGAGGAUGGCCCUGUGUGUAAAAAUGUCAAAAUCUUAAUGAUUCUCAAACCUCUGUUUAGUGGGAUUCUGGCUACAAUGCUACUUGGAAGUAGGGUCCAUUGAACUCAAUGGAAUAUGCUUCCAUUCAAAUCACUUCAGGAUUGACAGAUUCGUCAAUCUGUUUGAAGGCUGUUUGAAACUUUACCCUGUUACUGCAGGUACAAUCCUUGACCCACCUACCGAAGAGUAUUUCUAGAGUAAUUGCAUUGACUGAACUGAAGCUUGUUUUGCUAGUCCAGUGUAAGUGGAUUGAGGAUUGUGAUCUAAAAUAAGCCCCGCCCUUGCAAUGAAACAAAGAUGGGUGGAAGGACGGCAUGCACAUAGCCUUGGCCUUUGUUUCAAAUUCUGUGUCCAUCUCUGUUGCUGUUCUGGUCUGUUUGCCUCUUUGUUGCUCUCUGUCUGAUCUUCUAAACUUUCCAGUCAUUUGCUGUUCUGCUGAUAUUGGAAACAAAUCUUUGUUUUGUGCAUACAUACAAUCAUUUUAGGACUGCAAUGUUCCACAAGCAACAACUUGGAACAUGGAAAUGUUUUAAAAGGUUUUUUUCCACUCUUCCAAGAUUAGUAUGUGGACAGUGAAGUCCUCCAAUAUACAGCUAGCAAAGGGCAGGAAAAAUGUAACCAGCUUUUUUAUUUCUUUAUAACUUUUUUUUUUACAUCCUACAUUAUCCCACUCUUAAGUGUCACCAUUGUAAUGGUUGUUAUAUAUUUCUGAUAUUUACCAAUAUUUGUGUUGGUGUAUGCAUGUUCAGUUUUUAUACUGAGAACUGUUUAUUGGGGAAAUUGUUCAGUGUUGCUGUUUUUUCAAAACAACUGGAGCUAUGUGCAUUUUGUAUACACACUGUUCAAGCAAAAAUAUUUAUAUUAAGUGCAAAAUUCAACAUGCUGAGAAUCUUGCUUUUAAUUUUUUCAAGUCAACUUUCUAACCUUUUAGGGCUUGCAAAUGUGUGAGCCUUACCUAGCAACAUACCUGGGAGAUCUGAGCGAGACUUCCAGUGAUCCAUGAGUGGGGCAGUCAGUACCCUCUAUAGCUGUUUGCCUCACUCCAUGGCCAUUCAAUUAUACAAAAUAAGCAAAAGAUGAAAAUUUGCUUCUUUCAUAACUUAUACAGAUUGCAGAAUUCACAUUUUUAUUUUAGACAAAAAAAAUAUUUUUAGUAAAAGUGACUCUGAAAGAUAAAUAACUGAAGUGAAGUUUCCCCCACUAACUAUGAAAUGAUUUGGUUUGACACACUAAGGAUCUAGCAUCUGAUCAAAUCAUUUUGUAAUUCAGAAUGAGGGACUUGCCACGUUAGACUCUUUAAGUCACUAUUAUCUAAUUAACAAACAUUAGGUCUGGUUUUCAUACGGUGAAGCCAUGAGGUGGCUCUUUCCUGUCAUGGUGGACCUUUCUUCUAAUCUUCUUCCAGCAUUUUAAAAUCUGAUAAUAAUAAUUAUUAUUGUUAUUAUUUCAUUAAUCAUGUAUGUAUAUCUACUGUACUGCAUUAGCACCAUUUCCUCAAGACCUGGAAUUGCAGACUUUAUAGUAGGAGGGCACUUUAGAAAAAGAAAGCUUUGGCUUAGGAAAGAAAAGAGUUAUGCUGAGGUGGCUUUAAACUGUAAUAUAUAUAUUUAUAAGAAUGUGAGAUUUGGUUCUUAGCAUCUCCACCUAGCUAGUAAACCAAACCAGCCCUAUUUUUAAAUCUUUGACAGUUCUAGUUAAUGACAAUUCUAAAUCUAAAUGCACUUAAAUAAAAGAGUGUGUAUGCAAAUAAGGACUGGUAUGUGGUUUGGGAGUUCACAUUUCCUCUGUGGAGGAAAUCUUAUUUAUUCUAAACUGUUGGUGAUAAUAAUAAUAAUAAUUAGGCACUUAUCUGAACAGAAAGUGAAAUUUCUUGAGCAGAUUCCAAAGUUGUGAUUAGAGGGUAACUUUAGAUACAGUAAUUCUUUGGUACAGAUCACUGUAUCUAACAUUUUACUUUCAAGAAUCUUAAGAAACAGACAUGACUCUUGAAGAGUGCACCCAUAUUUUCUUUAAAAAUAAUAUAAAUUGCAGCUUAAAGUAUUCUAGUAUUUAGGCAUUAAACAUGUAAAUAAUAUGUUUCAAGAACAUGAUUGCAGGCUUUUUCAGUUUUUGUUUUGUAUAGUAGCAAGAAGAGGAGAAUUAUUAGACAGUAUCAUGUCUACAGCAUUUUCAUGUGGAGUCAUUCAAAGGGGGGGUUGUAAUAACUAUUUUAAUUCACAUUUGUUAAAAUUAACAAUUACCUCAUUCCAGGAAAGUAUUCUAUAAGCAAAUUAAAUAUUUUUUUGAUUUUUUUUAAAGGAUGUAAAGUAAAUCAUAUUUGCUUCCCUGCAGACACAUUAUGGUUGCUAAAUAAUAGUUAGCACUAUGCAACAGCAAACCCAGUGUCCUUAUCAAAUGUGUGUAUAUAAAGAAAUUUUUAUUUUAUAGAAAUUGCUUGCCUAUGUUAUUACCACCAAGCAUAUUCAAUAUAUUUCAGUUUCAGCAAGCAGCCUGAGAAAUACUUAGAUUUUGAACCUGUCCAUUGCUACAAGUGUUGAUAUUCUUGAAAACACAAGUAAAAUCAGACGUCUAAGAGACUUUUCCUUUGUUACAUACAGCUAAAGUUAGGCCAUAGUAUGCAAUUAGAUUACUCUAGAGUAGAUGUUACCAGUUUCAAUUUAUUAUUUAUUAAAUUUAUACCCCACUCUUCCUCCCAAAAGAGCCCAAGGCGGGGGGGGGGGGAGUGGUAAAACAAGAGACAUUAAAAGCAAUUCCAGUGCAGAUGCAGACUGGGAAAUAUAUCAACUUAAAAGCCUUGUUGAGAGAGGAGGGUCUUCAGUUGACACCAAAAAGACAACAGAUGGUACUUGUCUAAUAUUUAAAUAAUGGGAAUGCCAAAUGGUGCCACAACACUAAAGGCCCAACUACUAUAAUGUAUGGCACAGAAUCCCUGAUAAGAUGAUGCCUGCAGGAGGAUCUCAUCUGCAAAGUACAAUGAUCAAUUGGCUAUAUAAGGGAUAUGACAAUCUUUCAAGUAACCUGGUCCAAAGGGCAGCUCCAUAUAGAGGACAUUGUAAUAAUCCAGACUGGAGGUUACCAGUGCAUAGAUGACAAUGCUCAGCGUAACAGCAAAUAAUAUUUUCUUUAAAAUUAACAAAAGCUAUUGCAUGGUUUACAUUGAACAUUUCAACUAUAAAUUGACUUAGAUUCAGAGGCCCAACUGUAGUUUUCACAUGACAUAUUUUUGUAUUUAGGACCUUGUUUAAGAAAAGAACUGUAAUAGCUUUAUAUAUCCACAUUAUCUAGAGAAGAAUGUUUCCACUAGGCACAAGUCUAUUAAGCUGUUAUACCAGUUUAAUAACAUCAUAACCAUGCCAUUCAAGCUUUAGAUAUGUAUACAUGAGAAAGUCACAAAUAUGCUGAUAUAUGGGUUUUUCACAUAAUAUGUGCAAAUGCAUAUACCUUGUGAAUAAUGGAAUGACUUGUAGAAGGAAACAUAUUACUUAAAAAUUGGCAUAAUCUAGAAAAGCCCGCAAAUAGAAUGGGUAGCAAGAAUGCAGCUUCUACUCAUUCAGUGGGAUUUGCAGAGAAGAUAUUAGCACUGAGUUGUGCACUCAUUGUUUGCACAAUUUAAUCAAGAUGUGGGUUUUUUUUCACUUUACCUGAAAUUUAUAUCAAGAAAACAAUUUUGCUGCAAUACUGAAAAAAGAUUAAUUUUUAGUAAUAUAAAUGAAUUAAAAUUUGGUAAUAUUAAUACAUGCUUACAUCCUAUUUUGUUUUGUUUUUUAAGAUUUGUAACCAAUGAAAACAAUGGAAAAAAACUUUCUCCCCACAAAAUUUAAAUACAAAAAUAUUUAAAAUCAUUUAAAGAUAUUCCACAGGUCUGAUACUUAACCUUUUUAUGAAAUACUUCAAUAUCCAGUUUAGAAGUGAUAUACAGGAGAAAAUAAUAUUAUGUUAACUAUUGAGCAAUUUGUGGAACACUCAGCCUGGUGGAACGCUCUGUCACAAAAGACCAGGGCCCUGCGGAAUUUGACAUCUUUUCACAGGGCCUGCAGGACAGAGCUGUUCCACCAGGCCUUUGGUCUGGGUCCAGUCUGACCCCCCUUUUUCUUUUCAAGACCUCGCAUGUAAGGGGCUCCUCUAACCCUUUCUCACCAGCUUAUAUGAGACCAGCACAAAUAGCUGGGCCUGGUGAGCACUUAAUGUUCCCACCCCAUAGUUAUAGUUAUAAUUCGUGGGUUGCCAUCAGAUUUUAUUCUGAUUUUAAGCUGUAUUUCAACGGAUCGUUUGAUCUUAUGUUUUAAUGUAUUAUUUAUUUGAUGUUAGCUGCCCUGAGCCUGGUCUUGGCCGGGGAGGGCAGGAUAUAAAUAAAAUUUAUUAUUAUUAUUAGUGCUAAAAAUAUGAGAAAUUUAAAAAAACCCUCUAAGCUGUUGCUAUAACGCAUAACUCCAUUCAGUAAUUUUGAUAUGGAACAACAUUCCAGUUUCUCACAUAGUUACGGUACUAUGCUAGGAUUUAAAGUAGGCUGAUUAAGGCUGCAGUCUUAUAUCCACUUACUCUUGGUAGCAAGGAAAAACUGGUAUAAAAGGAAAAUUCCUGGAAGCCAAGAUCCAAGUUUGGGGCAAGUACUCUUUGGUGAGAGAACCCCAGCAGAUAUUUAAAAUCACUAAAUAUGCAGCAAAGUAAAGUGUGGAAAUAUAGGUUGUUAGACCUUUAAAAUAUGUCCUUGUGAGCUCCAAAACUUCCAUCUUCCCCGUCAUAUAAAAAGACCACAUGUUUAAUAAGUUUUAAAUGGUUUACUUACAAACCCUCCAAAGGUCAGAGUCAUGUGCUUUUUCAUACAUCCUUCAGAAAAAGUUGCACAAGCAGUAAAACUUGGCUUAGUUACACUGGUAUAGUUUCGAAAUUAUUGGUAUAGGAACACAAGAAUGGCUCAUGAGAGCCAUGCAGUCUAAGCUGCCGUAACCAGCUCAAAACCUCUUUACGUGUUAAGCUUCUCUGAUAGACUGAGAGAACAAAGGCUUGAUUACCUAGUCCCUCCCCAGGUGAACUAAGCAUGGCAUGACAACUUACUGUAUGGUCUUAACCCCUUCAUGCAUUAAUUAGACUUAAGCAUGUUUGUUUUAUGAGGCUGGUUAUCCCACACUUACCUGGGAGUAAGACCCACUAGACUCAUAAAGACUUCUGAGUGGAUAUGUAUAAGAUUACACUGUUAGUUAUAUCAAGAACUAUGGUUUAACCAGUUUGUGGAUCAAUAUUGCCUGACCCUAAACAGAUAGAAAAUACAUUGUCUUGAAGCAAGAAAAUGAUUUGAAGGGAAUGUGGUGGCUCCUGGUUUUGAAGGGUCCAUGGACAAUGCACACUCCCUGGGGGCACCUCCCUUAGGGAGUCUACACUGCCAUUAUCAUCAGCUCCUACAGCUCCUCUUUCUCAGCACUGCUACUACCAACUUGAAGCAGAGAGCCAAUGAAGAAACAGGUCAUGUCAUUUUCUGUUCCUCCAUUUCACCACCGCUGCUGCCUAGACUCAAGCAGGAGGCAGGGGAACAAGCAAGCAGUGGUGAAGAGGAGAAGCAAUUGUUUCUCAAUGGGGCUCCCUGCUGAGUUGCAGACCCUGGAAAACUAUGCAGCACUUAAUUUCUAUAUCCAUUAUGCUCUUGGUUGUAAAAGUAAAACAUGGCCAAUAUGACCUGAGAAAAGAGAAAGGACACAUGAAACAUAGAGACAGGGGAUUCAAUGCAAUUCUGUAUUGUUUAUGUGCAAAAAAAUAAUCCCUUCCCAUUGGGAUGCUGAAUAGUGAAGGCCAAACCAUCCAAGAGUUGAAAGAACUUUUGUCCCUAUCAUAAUAGUGGCCCCAAAUGCAAUUACCGGUAUUUAUUUAUGUCAUAAAUAAUCAUUAUUAGUAGUAUUUAUUUGUUGUGUUUUACACCAAAGUGUUUCAAAGCAACUUACAUAAUAAAAAUAGAAAUAACAAAAAACAUCAAAACCAAAUAUAAAAACAGCAACAACAACUAUAGUGUCAAGCAUGCUUUCUGGGGAGAGCAUUCUGCAAGCGGAGAGCCGCUGCUGAAAAUAAUUUCAGUUAUGCUUAGGGAACAAAAUCAUUCAACAAUUUUGGCAUUUAACACCCUUCCCCACCACCACAAGCUGCUUUUUCACCUGUGGAGAAAAGAUGAAAAACCGCUUGGGGGGUAAAUGACCUUCAGCAUAAAUGGCUGGAGGAGAAAAGGUUAAGUAGUCAUUCUCACACACAGUACUAUUCCUCUUUGCAGUAUCCUGCAGCUGCUUUUUAUUUAAAACAAAAACCAGGAGGCCAUUACAUCUGCCAUGCACUGCCAGCUUGGACCUGAAUCGUAUCCUAAUUAAAUAAGCAGUAAAAAGACACAGAAAAUGAAUUAAAAGUUAGGUGUACUACUUUUCAAAUAAAAAUUAACUGGCAGCAAAUUAUUUCUUCCUGCCUACCCACAUAUUUGAACUGAAGCAUUUUACUGUGAAACAACUCUGCUACUUGGGGGGCAACUAAUCAGCCUUUGUGUAUAGUUUCUUUUGGAUAUGUAGUUCACGUUCAGACUCAAUAAAUACUAGGAAGAAAGGUCUUGAGCAUAUUCAAUAUUUCAGCUAAUCACUGUGUAUUUUUGACUUUGGGCUUUUAUCACUAAGUGCUGUGUAUUGAAAACAGUGUACCUCAAGGUAGACUGAAUAAAAAUCUGAUUGAUACAUGGUCUAAUGCUGACCUUAUUAAAUCAAAUGAAGCAUCCUUAUGGAUAGGAAGCUGCCAUACUAAGGCAGACCAACUGUCCAUCUAGCUCAAUAUUGUUGACACUGACUGGCAAGAGCUCUUCAGGGGUUUAGGCAGGAGUCUUUCCAGACCGUACCUGGGAAUGCUUCAGUUGACAUGCAAAUAAUGUGAACUGCUAUAAAGCCUUCCCUAAAAGGACCUAUAAGUUGUAAUACACUAGGAACCUUAUCUAGCAUAUCUGAACCUUGGAAGCUGUGCUAAUGUGAAGUACAGUGGUACCUCGGGUUACAGAUGCUUCAGGUUACAGACUCAGCUAACCCAGAAAUAGUACCUCGGGUUAAGAACUUUGCUUCAGGAUAAGAACAGAAAUUGUGCAGUGGCGGUGCAGUGGCAGGCCCCAUUAGCUAAAGUGGUGCUUCAGGUUAAGAACAGUUUCAGGUUAAGAACAGACCUCCAGAACAAAUUAAGUUCUUAACCCGAGGUACAACUGUACUGAAAUAUGUCUACCAUGUAGCUAAAGACAUUAAUUGGAACCCAAUGUCCAUCCAAAUAAACAGAAGAAUCAUAGUUUGUCUCUUUUCCUAAGCAUAUAAACAUUGUCUUACCAGGUCAGCCCAGCAUACUCUAACAAUUGCCAGUCAGAUGCACCAAGAAGCUCUCAAAUAAGGCAUCAUGGAAAUAGUCAUAACCUGAUAGUCAUUCAUAGCACUGGUUAAUAAGAUCCUGAAUACAGUAAUUCAGUUUUUACCUAUCAUGGCUAAUGGCCUUCAGAAGAAACCUGGUCUAUGUUUCAGUUAUCUCCCAUGCUGAUUACUGCAGUCAUAUUUCAGCUAGUCUUUCAUUGUCUCACCUUGGUACACUUCCAUCCAUCCAGCAUGCUCUUCUCUGAAACAAGUCCACCCUUUGUCCCGUAUGCCCCUUAUGCCUGGAACUGCCUCCCAGAAUGCCUCUAUUAUUUCUCCUCCCAUAUUUCCUUCAGGUUGCUCAUCAAAUUAAUAUUUUUCUCUGGAGCAACCCCUUACUCUCUAUACACUAUUAUAAUUAAGCUGAAGUAUGUAUAAUUGAAAGAAUGGCAUAUACCUUUCCUGUUAGUUUUACUUCUGUUUCCCUCCUCUCACGCUGUUGUUUCUCUUGUAUCUGUUUUCAGAUUUUAAGCCCCUUAGGCCAAAGAUUUGUCAAAUAUAUUUUUUGUCAUAUGCCAUGCACAUAGAUAGUAUGUAUAAGCAAUUAUAAUGGCUAUGAAUUUACCAGUCCUCCAUGAAUUUAUCUAAUCCUCUUCUGAAGCUAUAUAAACUAAAGGCCAUUGUUUUAUGAUGAACAAUCAUCAUCAUUAGUUAACUAUGUGGUUUUCUCUGUUUUUAACCUAUUGCCAGAAAACUGAACUAGAUGACUCUGGAGUCUAGUAAUUUCAGAAACAAGCAUGAAUAUAUCUUCAAUCACUUGUCAUAUCUCCCCACUCCAUUCCAGCCUGCCUAGAUAUGUUUGUUGAAAUGGGGUGACCAGAGCAGUACAUUGUAUUCUUAAGUGGAAAUAUAAUAAGGUUUCUAUAAUGGCAUUGUGAUACCUGCUAUUUUAUUUCCAUCUCUUUAGUAAUAAUUCCUAAUCAUGAUUUUUCCUUAAGUGAAUUUUCUACUAUGGUCUCAAGAGAUCUUUUCACCUCAUCAAAACUCAAGGUAUGAAUGAUUUCAUUACUGCUUGUAAUAUGUGAUUCUUUCUGUUGAGUGAUAGGCCAAGCUUUUCUUAAGUGUCUGCAAAGAUAUUUAGGAUGAUCCAAAAAACCAAAGUGCUGCACCAACAAGUACAAAAUAACCCCUUUGCAGCGCCACAAAUCCAACUCAAUGGUGUAACGUUGGAAAAUGUCAAUCACUUCUCCUACCUAGGCAGUUAUCUUUCCACAAGGGCCAACAUUGAUGCUGAAAUCCAGCAUCGCCUGAGCUCUGCGGGUACGGCUUUCUCCUGAUUGAAGUGCAGAGUGUUUGAGGACCAGGACAUUCACAUGGAAACCAAAAUGCUUGUUUACAAAGCUAUUGUAC